GACACAGUGGCAGAGAUGGCUUAAUGCGUCAGUCUUGAAAACUGAAAGUCAGAAAAGGCUCGUAGGUUCGAAUCCUACCUGUGUCGCCA
RNAcentral lists this transfer RNA (89 nucleotides) under Caudoviricetes sp. Its description in RNAcentral is "tRNA-Ser". It matches the Rfam family "tRNA". From Rfam's summary of the family: Transfer RNA (tRNA) molecules are approximately 80 nucleotides in length. Their secondary structure includes four short double-helical elements and three loops (D, anti-codon, and T loops). Further hydrogen bonds mediate the characteristic L-shaped molecular structure. tRNAs have two regions of fundamental functional importance: the anti-codon, which is responsible for specific mRNA codon recognition, and the 3' end, to which the tRNAs corresponding amino acid is attached (by aminoacyl-tRNA synthetases). tRNAs cope with the degeneracy of the genetic code in two manners: having more than one tRNA (with a specific anti-codon) for a particular amino acid; and 'wobble' base-pairing, i.e. permitting non-standard base-pairing at the 3rd anti-codon position. Lineage: Duplodnaviria; Heunggongvirae; Uroviricota; Caudoviricetes. The record is from RNAcentral.